This 84-nucleotide microRNA precursor is filed under the name Bombyx mori (domestic silkworm). RNAcentral's name for it is "mir-2807 microRNA precursor family". It matches the Rfam family "mir-2807 microRNA precursor family". The record is from Rfam by way of RNAcentral. Lineage: Eukaryota; Metazoa; Arthropoda; Insecta; Lepidoptera; Bombycidae.
UUAACUCAUAUUUGUAUAGAAUGGGAUCGUUUGCUUGCGUUUGCCGCUAGGGGCGCUGUUCCAACUGUAUACAAAAUUGGGUUA